RNAcentral lists this ribosomal RNA (470 nucleotides) under uncultured Desulfotomaculum sp. Its description in RNAcentral is "bacterial SSU rRNA". It matches the Rfam family "Bacterial small subunit ribosomal RNA", at positions 28 to 498 of the family's 1533-position model. The record is from RNAcentral. Lineage: Bacteria; Bacillati; Bacillota; Clostridia; Eubacteriales; Desulfotomaculaceae.
GACGAACGCUGGCGGCAUGCCUAAUACAUGCAAGUCGAACGGAUCUCUUCGGAGAUUAGUGGCGGACGGGUGAGUAACGCGUGGGCAACCUGCCCCAAAGAUCGGGAUAACACUUCGAAAGGAGUGCUAAUACCGGGUGUGAUCUAGAAUUCGCAUGGAUUUUAGAAGAAAGGCUUCGGCCACUUUGGGAUGGGCCCGCGUCUGAUUAGCUAGUUGGUGGGGUAAAGGCUCACCAAGCCGACGAUCUGUAGCUGGUCUGAGAGGGCGACCAGCCACACUGGGACUGAGACACGGCCCAGACUCCUACGGGAGGCAGCAGUAGGGAAUCUUCCGCAAUGGACGAAAGUCUGACGGAGCAACGCCGCGUGAGUGAUGAAGGUUUUCGGAUCGUAAAGCUCUGUCGCCAGGGAAGAAUGCUUGGGAGAGUAACUGCUCCCAAGGUGACGGUACCUGAGAAGAAAGCCCCGGCU